This 429-nucleotide ribosomal RNA is filed under the name Bacteroidota bacterium. RNAcentral's name for it is "Bacteroidetes bacterium partial 16S ribosomal RNA". It matches the Rfam family "Bacterial small subunit ribosomal RNA", at positions 355 to 776 of the family's 1533-position model. The record is from RNAcentral. Lineage: Bacteria; Pseudomonadati; Bacteroidota.
UAGGGAAUCUUCCGCAAUGGGCGAAAGCCUGACGGAGCAACGCCGCGUGAGUGAUGAAGGUCUUCGGAUCGUAAAACUCUGUUAUCAGGGAAGAACAAAUGUGUAAGUAACUGUGCACAUCUUGACGGUACCUGAUCAGAAAGCCACGGCUAACUACGUGCCAGCAGCCGCGGUAAUACGUAGGUGGCAAGCGUUGUCCGGAUUUAUUGGGCGUAAAGCGAGCGCAGGCGGUCAAUUAAGUCUGAUGUGAAAGCCCCCGGCUCAACCGGGGAGGGUCAUUGGAAACUGGUUGACUUGAGUGCAGAAGAGGAGAGUGGAAUUCCAUGUGUAGCGGUGAAAUGCGUAGAUAUAUGGAGGAACACCAGUGGCGAAGGCGACUCUCUGGUCUGUAACUGACGCUGAGGCUCGAAAGCGUGGGUAGCAAACAGG